CAGCAGCCGCGGGAAUACGAAGGGGGCUAGCGUUGCUCGGAAUGACUGGGCGUAAAGGGCGCGUAGGCGGUUUAUACAGUCAGAUGUGAAAUUCCUGGGCUCAACCUGGGGACUGCAUUUGAUACGUAUGGACUUGAGUGGAGAAGAGGGUUGUGGAAUUUCCAGUGUAGAGGUGAAAUUCGUAGAUAUUGGAAAGAACACCGGUGGCGAAGGCGGCAACCUGGUCUUUAACUGACGCUGAGGCGCGAAAGCGUGGGGAGCAAACAGGAUUAGAUACCCCUGUAGUCCCUGUCUCUGAUAA
Molecule: ribosomal RNA, 301 nt
Filed under: uncultured bacterium
Lineage: Bacteria
Description: partial 16S ribosomal RNA
Rfam family: Bacterial small subunit ribosomal RNA
Source: RNAcentral